Molecule: ribosomal RNA, 254 nt
Filed under: uncultured bacterium
Lineage: Bacteria
Description: partial 16S ribosomal RNA
Rfam family: Bacterial small subunit ribosomal RNA
Source: RNAcentral
UACAGAGGGGGCAAGCGUUAUUCGGAAUUAUUGGGCGUAAAGGGCGCGUAGGCGGCCUGGCAAGUGGAAGGUGAAAUCCCUCGGCUUAACCGAGGAACUGCCUUCCAAACUGCUUGGCUUGAGUCCGGGAGAGGUGAGUGGAAUUCCCAGUGUAGCGGUGAAAUGCGUAGAUAUUGGGAGGAACACCAGUGGCGAAGGCGGCUCACUGGACCGGAACUGACGCUGAUGCGCAAAAGCGUGGGGAGCAAACGGGG